RNAcentral lists this ribosomal RNA (221 nucleotides) under uncultured Flavobacteriaceae bacterium. RNAcentral describes it as "partial 23S ribosomal RNA". It matches the Rfam family "Bacterial large subunit ribosomal RNA", at positions 1 to 230 of the family's 2925-position model. The record is from RNAcentral. Lineage: Bacteria; Pseudomonadati; Bacteroidota; Flavobacteriia; Flavobacteriales; Flavobacteriaceae.
AAUAAGCUAAAUAAGAGCGUAUGGGGAAUGCCUAGGCUCUCAGAGGCGAUGAAGGACGUGAUAAGCUGCGAAAAGUUGCGGGGAUUGGCACAUACAAAUUGAUCCGCAAAUAUCCGAAUGGGGCAACCCACUAUAUUGAAGAUAUAGUAUUCUGAACUUGUUUCAGGAGGCAAACCCAGGGAACUGAAACAUCUAAGUACCGGGAGGAGAAGAAAACAAAA